UGUCGAGGGAAGGGAAUCGAACCCACAGUGUUCCGCUUACCGGGCAGAUGCCAUUGUCCACUAGGCUACCCCGGAC
Molecule: transfer RNA, 76 nt
Filed under: Cordylochernes scorpioides
Lineage: Eukaryota; Metazoa; Arthropoda; Arachnida; Pseudoscorpiones; Chernetidae
Description: tRNA-Thr
Source: RNAcentral